This 392-nucleotide ribosomal RNA is filed under the name uncultured bacterium. RNAcentral describes it as "partial 16S ribosomal RNA". It matches the Rfam family "Bacterial small subunit ribosomal RNA", at positions 523 to 918 of the family's 1533-position model. The record is from RNAcentral.
UUACGGAGGGUCCGAGCGUUAUCGGGAUUUAUUGGGGUUAAAGGGUGCGCAGGCGGCCAUUUAAGUCAGCGGUUAAUACGUGGGGCUCAACCCCAUUCUGCCUUUGAUACUGGGUGGCUUGAUUGCGGGAGAGGUGGGCGGAAUUCGUUGUGUAGCGGUGAAAUGCAUAGAUAUGACGAAGAACACCGAUGGCGUAGGCAGCUGACCAGACCGCAAAUGACGCUCAUGCACGAAAGUGCGGGGAUCGAACAGGAUUAGAUUCCCUGGUAGUCCGCACAGUAAACGAUGAAUACUUGAUUUCGGCGAUAUAAUGUCGGAGGCAAAGCGAAAGCGAUAAGUAUUCCACCUGGGGAGUACGCCGGCAACGGUGAAACUCAAAUGAAUUGGCGGGG